This 678-nucleotide ribosomal RNA is filed under the name uncultured marine group I thaumarchaeote. RNAcentral's name for it is "bacterial SSU rRNA". It matches the Rfam family "Archaeal small subunit ribosomal RNA", at positions 321 to 999 of the family's 1478-position model. Lineage: Archaea; Thermoproteati; Nitrososphaerota. The record is from RNAcentral.
CCCUACGGGGUGCACCAGGCGAGAAAACUUUGCAAUGUGCGAAAGCACGACAAGGUUAAUCCGAGUGGUUUCUGCUAAAGAAACCUUUUGUUAGUCCUAGAAACACUAACGAAUAAGGGGUGGGCAAGUUCUGGUGUCAGCCGCCGCGGUAAAACCAGCACCUCAAGUGGUCAGGAUGAUUAUUGGGCCUAAAGCAUCCGUAGCCGGCUCUGUAAGUUUUCGGUUAAAUCUGUACGCUCAACGUACAGGCUGCCGGGAAUACUGCAGAGCUAGGGAGUGGGAGAGGUAGACGGUACUCGGGAGGAAGGGGUAAAAUCCUUUGAUCUCUCGAUGACCACCUGUGGCGAAGGCGGUCUACCAGAACACGUCCGACGGUGAGGGACGAAAGCUGGGGGAGCAAACCGGAUUAGAUACCCGGGUAGUCCCAGCUGUAAACUAUGCAAACUCAGUGAUGCAUUGGCUUGUGGCCAAUGCAGUGUUGCAGGGAAGCCGUUAAGUUUGCCGCCUGGGAAGUACGUACGCAAGUAUGAAACUUAAAGGAAUUGGCGGGGGAGCACCACAAGGGGUGAAGCCUGCGGUUCAAUUGGAGUCAACGCCAGAAAUCUUACCCGGAGAGACAGCAGAAUGAAAGGUCAAGCUGAAGACUUUACCAGACAGCUGAGAAGGUGGUGCAUGGCC